GUGAGGAAUAUUGGACAAUGGAUGGAAAUCUGAUCCAGCCAUGCCGCGUGCAGGAAGACGGCCCUAUGGGUUGUAAACUGCUUUUAUAUGGGAGCAAUAAGGCCUACGUGUAGGUUGAUGAGAGUACCAUAUGAAUAAGCACCGGCUAACUCCGUGCCAGCAGCCGCGGUAAUACGGAGGGUGCAAGCGUUAUCCGGAUUUAUUGGGUUUAAAGGGUGCGUAGGCGGUUUGAUAAGUCAGCGGUGAAAUAUUUCAGCUUAACUGGAAGGGUGCCGUUGAUACUGUCAGGCUUGAAUUUAGUUGCUGUGGGUGGAAUGUGUGGUGUAGCGGUGAAAUGCAUAGAUAUCACACAGAAUAUCGAUUGCGAAGGCAGCUCACAAAGCUAAAAUUGACGCUGAUGCACGAAAGUGUGGGGAUCAAACAGG
This 425-nucleotide ribosomal RNA is filed under the name uncultured bacterium. Its description in RNAcentral is "bacterial SSU rRNA". It matches the Rfam family "Bacterial small subunit ribosomal RNA", at positions 354 to 776 of the family's 1533-position model. The record is from RNAcentral.